AACGGCGAGUGAAGCGGCAAGAGCUCAAAUUUGAAAUCUGGCCUCCCCCGGGGGCCCGAGUUGUAAUUUGCAGAGGAUGCUUCGGGUGCGGCCGCCGUCUAAGUUCCUUGGAACAGGACGUCAGAGAGGGUGAGAAUCCCGUCUUGGGCGGGCGGUCCGCGCCCGUGUGAAGCUCCUUCGACGAGUCGAGUUGUUUGGGAAUGCAGCUCUAAGCGGGUGGUAAAUUUCAUCUAAAGCUAAAUAUUGGCCGGAGACCGAUAGCGCACAAGUAGAGUGAUCGAAAGGUUAAAAGCACCUUGAAAAGGGAGUUAAACAGCACGUGAAAUUGUUGAAAGGGAAGCGBUUGCGGYCAGAUUCGGGGGCGGGGUUCAGCGGGUGCUCGUCGCCCGUGUAUUCCUCGUCUCCCGGGCCAGCAUCAGUUUCGACGGCCGGUCAAAGGCCCCCGGAWUGYGUCGUCUCUCGGGACGUCUUAUAGCCGGGGGUGCAAUGCGGCCCGUCGGGACUGAGGAACGCGCUCCGGCUCGGAUGCUGGCGUAAUGGCCGUAAGCGGCCCGUCUUGAAACACGGACCAAGGAGUCUAACAUCCACGCGAGUGUUCGGGUGUCAAACCCGUGCGCGCAGUGAAAGCGAACGGAGGUGGGAGCCCUAGGGCGCACCAUCGACCGAUCCUGAAGUCUUCGGAUGGAUUUGAGUAGGAGCGUGGCCGUUGGGACCCGAAAGAUGGUGAACUAUGCCUGAAUAGGGUGAAGCCAGAGGAAACUCUGGUGGAGGCUCGCAGCGGUUCUGACGUGCAAAUCGAUCGUCAAAUUU
Molecule: ribosomal RNA, 810 nt
Filed under: Trichophyton mentagrophytes
Lineage: Eukaryota; Fungi; Ascomycota; Eurotiomycetes; Onygenales; Arthrodermataceae
Description: eukaryotic LSU rRNA
Rfam family: Eukaryotic large subunit ribosomal RNA
Source: RNAcentral